UUUGAGCUGUAUGUCCUGAGCAUGAAGUAACGAUGCCUGACGCCUAGCUGAAGGACUUCCACCAAUUCCUGGGGGGGUGGCGUUCGAAGCGUGAACGAAAACAGGCGGGCUUCGCGUGCCUUCGGAUCGUGCAAUCGUUCGUAAAAUAAACGUCCCAGAGAUUCAAUAAGCGUUCGUAAAGCUUCCAGACGUCCCCAUUCUUCUGGGGGCAAAUGUUGGCGAAUCUCUUCAAACUUCGCGACGAGAAAGUCUUCGGAGUAUCGGUAGAUCACAUCAUCCUGCACCUUCGGUGGAAUCUCGCUGAUUGACUCUGGCGUCCUUCCGGAACCGACAACCUGAUCGAACAUCAAAUAGCAUGGCUCGAGGAAAUCUCGGACGACGCCUGAAGAUAGGUCAAC
RNAcentral lists this unclassified non-coding RNA (398 nucleotides) under uncultured bacterium. RNAcentral describes it as "contains 16S-23S intergenic spacer region". The record is from RNAcentral.